This 419-nucleotide unclassified non-coding RNA is filed under the name Hevea brasiliensis (rubber tree). The record is from RNAcentral. Lineage: Eukaryota; Viridiplantae; Streptophyta; Magnoliopsida; Malpighiales; Euphorbiaceae.
GGAAUCUCUACCGGGCCAUGGGAACAACGGAGAAGAAGAAGAUCAUCAUUGAUACCGACCCCGGAAUCGAUGAUGCGAUGGCGAUAUUUGUGGCCUUGAAUUCUCCGGAGGUGGAGGUGAUCGGGCUGACAACGAUCUAUGGGAACGUUUAUACGACGCUGGCCACAAGGAAUGCGUUGCAUCUGUUGGACGCUGCAGAGAGGACUGAUAUUCCGGUUGCCGAGGGUUCUCAUGUAACAAUCACGAAAGGGACAAAGCUUCGAAUAGCUGAUUUUGUUCAUGGUGCCGAUGGACUUGGAAACCAGAACUUUCCUCCACCAAAGGGAAAGCCAAUUGAUUUGUCAGCUUCUUCUUUUCUCGUUGAACAAGCAAAUUUGUACCCUGGAAAAGUCACCGUGGUUGCUUUUGGGCCACUUACA